AUACGUAGGUGGCGAGCGUUGUCCGGAAUUACUGGGCGUAAAGGGCGUGUAGGCGGCUUUUUAAGUCAGACGUGAAAUCCCUGGGCUUAACCCAGGACCUGCGUUUGAAACUGGAAGGCUUGAGGACCGGAGAGGGCAGUGGAAUUCCCAGUGUAGCGGUGAAAUGCGUAGAUAUUGGGAGGAACACCAGUGGCGAAGGCGACUGCCUGGACGGCACCUGACGCUGAGGCGCGAAAGCCAGGGGAGCAAACGGGAUUAGAUACCCCGGUAGUCCUGGCUGUAAACGAUGGGUACUAGGUGUGGGAGGUAUCGACCCCUUCCGUGCCGCAGUUAACACAAUAAGUACCCCGCCUGGGGAGUACGGCCGCAAGGUUGAA
RNAcentral lists this ribosomal RNA (377 nucleotides) under uncultured bacterium. RNAcentral's name for it is "bacterial SSU rRNA". It matches the Rfam family "Bacterial small subunit ribosomal RNA", at positions 523 to 898 of the family's 1533-position model. The record is from RNAcentral.